Hucho hucho (huchen) is the source of this 63-nucleotide microRNA precursor. The record is from Ensembl. Lineage: Eukaryota; Metazoa; Chordata; Actinopteri; Salmoniformes; Salmonidae.
UGAGAACUGAAUUCCAUAGAUGGUGGCUACUGGAGAUGUCAUCUAUGGGCUCAGUUCUUCUGG